RNAcentral lists this ribosomal RNA (879 nucleotides) under Russula sp. VH-2016d. RNAcentral's name for it is "eukaryotic LSU rRNA". It matches the Rfam family "Eukaryotic large subunit ribosomal RNA", at positions 74 to 931 of the family's 3401-position model. The record is from RNAcentral. Lineage: Eukaryota; Fungi; Basidiomycota; Agaricomycetes; Russulales; Russulaceae.
AUUCCCCUAGUAACUGCGAGUGAAGCGGGAAAAGCUCAAAUUUAAAAUCUGGUGGUCUUUGGCCGUCCGAGUUGUAAUUUAGAGAAGCGUCUUCCGCGCUGGACCGUGCACAAGUCUCCUGGAAUGGAGCGUCAUAGAGGGUGAGAAUCCCGUCUUUGGCACGGACACACCAGGGCUUUUGUGAUGCGCUCUCGAAGAGUCGAGUUGUUUGGGAAUGCAGCUCAAAAUGGGUGGUGAACUCCAUCUAAAGCUAAAUAUUGGCGAGAGACCGAUAGCGAACAAGUACCGUGAGGGAAAGAUGAAAAGCACUUUGGAAAGAGAGUGAAACAGUACGUGAAAUUGUUGAAAGGGAAACGCUUGAAGUCAGUCGCGUCGACCGAGACUCAGCCUUGCCUCGGCUUGGUGUACUUCUCGGCUGACGGGUCAGCAUCAAUUUUGCCCCUUGGAUAAUGGUGAGGGAAAUGUGACACCUUUACGGUGUGUUAUAGUCUCUUGUCGCAUGCAAGGGUCGGGAUUGAGGAACUCAGCACGCGCCUUUGGGUGUCGGGGCUUUGCCCACGAUACGUGCUUAGGAUGUUGGCAUAAUGGCUUUAAACGACCCGUCUUGAAACACGGACCAAGGAGUCUAACAUGCCUGCGAGUGUUCGGGUGGAAAACCCGUGCGCGCAAUGAAAGUGAAAGUCGGGACCUCUGUCGUGGAGGGCACCGACGCCCGGACCAGACCUUCUGUGACGGCUCUGCGGUAAAGCAUGUAUGUUAGGACCCGAAAGAUGGUGAACUAUGCCUGAAUAGGGUGAAGCCAGAGGAAACUCUGGUGGAGGCUCGUAGCGAUUCUGACGUGCAAAUCGAUCGUCAAAUUUGGGUAUAGGGGCGAAAGAC